This 209-nucleotide ribosomal RNA is filed under the name uncultured bacterium. RNAcentral's name for it is "partial 16S ribosomal RNA". It matches the Rfam family "Bacterial small subunit ribosomal RNA", at positions 568 to 774 of the family's 1533-position model. The record is from RNAcentral.
UGUGUAGGUGGUUGUGUUAGUCUCUCGUCAAAUUCUCCGAGCUCAACUCGGAGAUCGCGAGGGAAACGGCACGACUACGAGGGUGUACGAGGCGAGUGGAACUCACGGUGUAGGGGUGAAAUCCGUUGAUAUCGUGGGGAACACCAUAGGCGAAGGCGACUCGCUGGGACAUACCUGACACUGAAACACGAAAGCGUGGGGAGCGAACG